GGUAGGGUAGCUCAGUGGUAGAGUACCUACCUAACAUGUAGAAGGCCCUGGGUUCAACCCCCAGCCCAACAUAUACCC
This is a non-coding RNA of Onychomys torridus (southern grasshopper mouse), 78 nucleotides long. The record is from the annotation of a RefSeq genome assembly. NCBI's taxonomy places the organism in Eukaryota, Metazoa, Chordata, Mammalia, Rodentia, Cricetidae.